Onychostruthus taczanowskii (white-rumped snowfinch) is the source of this 208-nucleotide long non-coding RNA. RefSeq lists it as uncharacterized. The transcript is spliced from 3 exons. The record is from RefSeq and is a predicted model, not a curated record. NCBI's taxonomy places the organism in Eukaryota, Metazoa, Chordata, Aves, Passeriformes, Passeridae.
UGGCGGGCGGCCUUUCCGGUGUGGCGGCGUGAGGGCGGCGCAGGCGGCGAUGCCGACCGGGGACUACGACUCCAAGCCCAGCUGGGCUGACCAGGUGGAGGAGGAGGGAGGAGAGGAUGGGCCCCUCCCGUCCCCCAAGGAGGUCGUCAAUGGCAACAUCAAAACCAUCACCGAGUACCGCGAGGAGGAGGACGGGCGCAAGGUCAAG